GGGGAUGACUGGUUUCGACUUGGAAUGGUUGUUCCAGGAGAAGCGGGCCGAGGACCCAGGGUCAACUCGUUAACGAUCCUUGGAAACCUAUAAGUGCCGAGAACACUCGCACUGACUUCGCUCUCGCUGCCUGAUCAGUGAUCGAAGGGUCAGCCCGGAUGUAGCCUUCCGUCCGGAUCCUGGCCUCGUUUAGAAGGCUUGCCGUACAGCUGUGGUCACGGGAGCUGUACGGGACGUUUCCGUGACUGGGCUUGUCUGCACCAUGUCGGUGUGAGUGCAGGAGCCG
RNAcentral lists this transfer-messenger RNA (286 nucleotides) under Cutibacterium acnes HL030PA2. RNAcentral's name for it is "transfer-messenger RNA Propi_acnes_HL030P". It matches the Rfam family "transfer-messenger RNA", at positions 1 to 291 of the family's 374-position model. From Rfam's summary of the family: Bacterial tmRNA, also known as 10Sa RNA or SsrA, is named for its dual tRNA and mRNA-like properties. Its role is to liberate the mRNA from a stalled ribosome. Lineage: Bacteria; Bacillati; Actinomycetota; Actinomycetes; Propionibacteriales; Propionibacteriaceae. RNAcentral also lists the same sequence under 1 other name. The record is from RNAcentral.